This 73-nucleotide small RNA is filed under the name Fukomys damarensis (Damara mole-rat). Its description in RNAcentral is "Vertebrate telomerase RNA (ENSFDAG00000003245.1)". The record is from RNAcentral. Lineage: Eukaryota; Metazoa; Chordata; Mammalia; Rodentia; Bathyergidae.
GAGAGAAACGGAGCCGGUCCCCGCGCGCGGUGCGCUUCCCUGAGCUGUGGAAAGUGCACCCGGGACUCGGCUC